CAGUAGUACCAGUAGCAGUACCAGGGCCAAGUAUCCAACAGUCAGUAUCCAUGGCCUUAAGUAUGGAAAACUUGUGAAUGACGACUGCUAAACACAUUCACACACCACAGUGGAUGAUAAUUAACCUCGUGUGUGUGUGUGUAGUUUCCAGGACAGCUGAUGGAGCAGAUAGCUGAGCUCAAGCACAGACGGAGUCAUCUGAAGGAGCUGACCGAGGUGAAACAAUUGCUGGAGCUCGCUGACAAGGAGUUGUCAGAGCUGCGGACGGAGCAAAUCAAAAGCUGAAAAGCCUACAGGAAGAAAAUGAGAAGAACCAGACCUGCCUACGCGAUAUCUUCACAAACCUGGAAACACUUGGGGUUGAUAUUUGUUUUCCAAUAUUUCUGAUAAUUACUGAUACACUUAUCAGUAAUGCUGUUCCAUGCUGUGGCUGAGUCUGUUUGUUCCAUCAGCGUUGGAUUGAACAGGUUGAGUUAGAGCAGCAGCGAAAGGAUGAGAUCAUUCAUCAGGUAGGAACACAGGGAGUGACCUAACUAUGACUCCUUAGUAAUUACAACUCAUCUUAACAUUCACAUUGAAAUAUUUGCCUUUGUUUGUGAUAGAAAACUUUGCAGUUAAAUCAUUUUGAGAUCGCCAUUGGAAAGUACACCAACAUCAUUGAGGAUUACCGAUGGAUGAACCAGGAGCUGAAGAGGCUGUUAAAGGAAGUAUUGGAGAGGACCCCUAUUGCAGCUCUUAAAGAGCCAGAAGCUGAGAAUGAAGGAGUGCUCAGUAACCCUCUGGUCAUUGCUCAGGAAACUCAGCUGCAGGAAAAAGAGGCUGCUCUGAUACAGGAAAAUCAGAAGCUCACUGCAGAGCUGAAAAGCCUCCAGGAAGAAAAUGAGAAGAACCAGACCAACAUAAGCAAACUCAAUGCUGAACUACAAACAUCUGAGGUUAACAUUUGUUUUCCAUUAUUUCUGAUAAUUACUGAUACUGUAACUGUCAUGCUGU
RNAcentral lists this long non-coding RNA (993 nucleotides) under Gouania willdenowi (blunt-snouted clingfish). Its description in RNAcentral is "lncRNA (ENSGWIG00000003192.1)". The record is from RNAcentral. Lineage: Eukaryota; Metazoa; Chordata; Actinopteri; Blenniiformes; Gobiesocidae.